This 396-nucleotide ribosomal RNA is filed under the name uncultured bacterium. RNAcentral describes it as "partial 16S ribosomal RNA". It matches the Rfam family "Bacterial small subunit ribosomal RNA", at positions 523 to 918 of the family's 1533-position model. The record is from RNAcentral.
AUACGUAGGUGGCAAGCGUUGUCCGGAAUUAUUGGGCGUAAAGCGCAUGUAGGCGGUGCCUUAAGUCUGUCGUGAAACUGCGGGGCCUAACCCCGUAUGGCGAUGGAAACUGUGGCACUUGAGUGCAGGAGAGGAAAGGGGAACUCCCAGUGUAGCGGUGAAAUGGGUAGAUAUUGGGAAGAACACCGGUGGCGAAUGCGCCUUUCUGGACUGUGUCUGACGCUGAGAUGCGAAAGCCAGGGUAGCGAACGGGAUUAGAUACCCCGGUAGUCCUGGCCGUAAACGAUGGGUACUAGGUGUGGGAGGUAUCGACCCCUUCCGUGCCGGAGUUAACGCAAUAAGUACCCCGCCUGGGGAGUACGGCCGCAAGGCUUAAACUCAAAUGAAUUGACGGGG